AUAGAGGAAAUUUAAGGCUCCAGAAUGCACUGCUGAGUUGGGGCCUCCCCUGGGGCCUGUUUCCCAUCUUUAAGUAUUUUCAUGGGGAAUUCUCAUUAUGUUCAAGGCUUAUUACACAUAUGUGUCUCCAUGUUCAUACAAUUCUCUCCCAACAAAGCCUGCCUCUUUAAAAUAAAAAUCAAAAGCACUUUGGCUUUUAGAUGGCUCUCUCUUCUGUAGACUUAAGAACUGUAUUUCGAAACUUAGAACUGAGCAAUGGCUUCUUUGUCUUGGUCCAUCUCUGCCUUCCCCCUUAAGGGGGACAGAUAAAAAGCUAUCAACACUGCCCAGGAAACAGUGACUUCUCAGUGUCUCUGCACAGCUCCCUGCUGUGUUCAUUUCCAUAAACGACCAGCAGGCCUUCUGAGUGAUGCUUCUGUAUUUUGCCUUGUAACGCCUACAUGUGAAUACUGAUCUGGGGAUGCUUUUUGCCUCUUUAGAUGCUUUUACAUGUCUUUGCUUGAUGGACAACAUGCUGAUUUCAUCCUCCAGGUCUAGAAGGGCCCUGUCUAACCGGAGACUCAUCAACGUCCCCCAUCACGGGAACUGCUGCCUUGUGUUCAGAUCCUGCUAUCUAAAGCCCGUCUCCUACCAGGUCUUAUCUUAGGUGAUAUUCAUCAACAAAAGUUUGCCUGGGAACGACAGUUUACUCUUAUCCCAUUUUCAACCAACGAAUGACCCUGAAAAGAGUUUAUAUGGAGGAAGGCUCAUAAAGUUAGUUAGAACUGCAAAUAGAAUCUGAAACCACCAGAUUGCAUUAUGGUAGCGAUAAAAAUUUUAAACACAGUGAGAUCAAUUUAAAGGAAAUUUGUCAGAGAGCAAGAGAGAAAAAAUAUUUCUCCCCAAAGAAGCUUCCUCACGCCAGCAGUCACUGGCUGACAGUACAGGACAGAGAGCACCACGGUGGACUCAGGGCGGGAGUGGGGCUUCUCCCUCAGCCCUGUGCAUGUCUCCCAACCUCGCUGUCCUUCCCCUCUCUCCCGAGGCCACAGUGUGGAGAGCUGGGAGGACAGGUAGGUCGGAGCCCAGACCCUGGCAACCACCGCACAAGUAGUCCCCAACAGACUGUGACUUUAGAAGACUGGGAGAAAUUCUUCAGUUCUCAGGGCUUAAAUCCACCUAAAACAUUCCAAAGUUCCCCAAAAUGGAGGUUAAAUGUGGCAAUGUUCACCUCACAGAGUCUGGGGAAAGGCUCACUGGAGGAUUCGAUUGUCCGGUCCUUAUGGGAAAGCGGAUGAUGAGACACGGGACUAUUCACCAUUUGAAGAACUCAAUCAACUCACCUCACUUGGAGUCCUUGCAUACUGGGCAAUCUUCUGACCAGAGCUGGCUUCUCAUGUUUAGUUUUUUUGGCCGUAAGUAGCAAAGGACUUCACCCAAAUUGGCUUAAACAAUAAAGAGUAUUAUUUUCUCAAAGGAGGAACAGUUGAGGGAUGGCAGGUUCAGGGUUGGUUAAUUUAGUAGCUCAACAAUAUCACCAAGGACCAGACUCUCUACAAAAUUCUCUUCUGCCAUCCUCAGGGUAUCAGCUGGUCCUCUAGUUCGUCACCUUGUGGAUAAAAGAUGGCGGCAACAGCUGUAAGCAUAGCAUCUUCACACAACAAAAUGUAAAGAUCGUAGUGAGAGUGACAUUUCUUUGUAAAACAAGAACGCUUUCCCAAGCCUCUCCACACUUCUCAAAAACCUUUCCUUCAUAUCUCAUUGGCUGUAAUUGUUACCAGGCUCUCUUGUAAGCCAAUGGUCGGCAAGG
This 1789-nucleotide long non-coding RNA is filed under the name Equus asinus (donkey). RNAcentral's name for it is "lncRNA (ENSEASG00005037136.1)". The record is from RNAcentral. Lineage: Eukaryota; Metazoa; Chordata; Mammalia; Perissodactyla; Equidae.